Molecule: ribosomal RNA, 502 nt
Filed under: uncultured bacterium
Lineage: Bacteria
Description: partial 16S ribosomal RNA
Rfam family: Bacterial small subunit ribosomal RNA
Source: RNAcentral
AUUGAACGCUGGGGCAGGCUUAACACAUGCAAGUCGAGCGGGGGAAGGUAGCUUGCUACCGGACCUAGCGGCGGACGGGUGAGUAAUGCUUAGGAAUCUGCCUAUUAGUGGGGGACAACAUCUCGAAAGGGAUGCUAAUACCGCAUACGUCCUACGGGAGAAAGCAGGGGAUCACUUGUGACCUUGCGCUAAUAGAUGAGCCUAAGUCGGAUUAGCUAGUUGGUGGGGUAAAGGCCUACCAAGGCGACGAUCUGUAGCGGGUCUGAGAGGAUGAUCAGACACACGGGGCCUGAGACACGGCCCAGACUCCUACGGGAGGCAGCAGUGGGGAAUAUUGGACGAUGGGGGGAACCCUGAUCCAGCCAUGCCGCGUGUGUGAAGAAGGCCUUAUGGUUGUAAAGCACUUUAAGCGAGGAGGAGGCUCUUUUGGUUAAUACCCAAGAUGAGUGGACGUUACUCGCAGAAUAAGCACCGGCUAACUCUGUGCCAGCCGCCGCGGUAA